GCCCAUUCUCUCUGCCAGUUUACCCAGAAUUCAUUGGGGCAGAGCUAAUGAUGUCGACUGGAAGGGUUUAAUGAAGAAGCUGGGAAACAGAACCGGGGCCCUUUCAGAACACUAGAGCGACCAUUGCCUUGGCAACAGCACACAGGAGUGGUGUAGCACGAGGGAACGAAAUGGUCAUGUUGGGUUUAAAGAAGAUACUUCAAACGGGCGUGGGAGGGAGCGGAGUCUGCUGGGAGCAGAGGAUUGUGGGAGAGCGUGGUGCUGAUGAAGCUUGGUGGAUGUGGGCCUCAGUUAAAAUGGAGCAACACUACAACCCCUCAGUGAACUGAUGCAGAACUACUGCCACUUAAAACGCCUAGCAAACAAAAGACUGGAAUUCUUACUCAUUUGAUGUACUGUAAUUUCUUGGCUAGGCCCAUCUAUAGUCAUGAUACGUGAUUAUGCUACAAUUUAAGAUCUGGAAAUUCAUGUUUACAGUGACGGCCUACCCCGGCCAAACCCUCCCCUAACCCGGAUGACACUGGGCCAAUUGUGUGCCGCCCUAUGGGACUCCUGAUCACGGUUGGUUGUGAUACAGCCCGGGCUCAAACCAGGGUCUGUCGUGACAUCUCUAGCACUGAGAUGCAGUGCCUUAGACUGCCGCACCACUCAAGGAACCCAAUUAUAUUCAUAGGGACUUUGUGUUUGUCUUGAAUACUGUAUCGUUCUGCACUGUGAAUUGUGUUGACUUUUUGUAUUGUGAUUCUAUACAAAACAAAAGACCCCAUCUUUAAGUUCCCUUGGGGAAAAUAAAGUGAUUGUAUUUUAGUUACCGUACAAACCAAGACGGAUGUUUAGAAAAGACGGAAGGUGAGCGUUUAAUGAUUUCAGAGCCUUUUAUUUGAAAUGUCAGUGUUCAAGAGAAAAUAAAACGGCAAUAUAAAUAUUAGCAUAAAAAUGAAGAGACUAAACACCGGGAGGAGCGUAGGAGGUCUAAACAUUUCAUAAGAAAGAUAUUACCGCACGAGAGAGGAUUAAUUCAGCAGCGGACGGACGUACACACACACAUAAUAUUUAUAAUAAUUUUUGCUCAUAUGGACAGAGAGGCAUUCUUGCGCAAAUGCACAAGAUAAAACACAGACAAAAAAGUUACAGAAGGAUAGAAACAUUUUUUUCAAUAUAAUUUUUUUUGUUUAGUUUCUUUUACAGGGUAGUAAAAUAGAGA
This 1204-nucleotide long non-coding RNA is filed under the name Oncorhynchus kisutch (coho salmon). RNAcentral describes it as "lncRNA (ENSOKIG00005023930.1)". The record is from RNAcentral. Lineage: Eukaryota; Metazoa; Chordata; Actinopteri; Salmoniformes; Salmonidae.